CCUACGGGGGGCAGCAGUGGGGGAUAUUGGACAAUGGGGGAAACUCUGAUCCAGCGACGCCGCGUGAGGGAAGACGUAUCUCGGUAUGUAAAGCUCUAUUAGCAGGGAAGAAAGAAAUGACGGUACCUGAGUAAGAAGCCCCGGCUAACUACGUGCCAGCAGCCGCGGUAAUACGGAGGGGGCAAGCGUUAUCCGGAAUUACUGGGUGUAAAGGGAGCGUAGGCGGUAAUGGAAGGCUGGAGUGAAAGGCCGGGGCCCAACCCCGGGAUUGCUCUGGAAACUGUGUAACUAGAGUGCAGGUGAGGCAGGCGGAAUGGCUGGUGUAGCGGUGAAAUGCGGAGAGAUUAGGAGGAACACCGGUGGCGAAGGCAGCUUGCUAGACUGUAACUGACGUUGAGGCUCGAAAGCGUGGGGAGCAAACAGGAUUAGAUACCCCUGUAGUC
Molecule: ribosomal RNA, 443 nt
Filed under: uncultured bacterium
Lineage: Bacteria
Description: partial 16S ribosomal RNA
Rfam family: Bacterial small subunit ribosomal RNA
Source: RNAcentral